RNAcentral lists this ribosomal RNA (561 nucleotides) under uncultured bacterium. RNAcentral's name for it is "bacterial SSU rRNA". It matches the Rfam family "Bacterial small subunit ribosomal RNA", at positions 338 to 916 of the family's 1533-position model. The record is from RNAcentral.
CCUACGGGAGGCAGCAGUGGGGAAUAUUGGACAAUGGGCGAAAGCCUGAUCCAGCAAUGCCGCGUGAGUGAUGAAGGCCUUAGGGUCGUAAAGCUCUUUUACCCGGGAUGAUAAUGACAGUACCGGGAGAAUAAGCCCCGGCUAACUCCGUGCCAGCAGCCGCGGUAAUACGGAGGGGGCUAGCGUUGUUCGGAAUUACUGGGCGUAAAGCGUGCGUAGGCGGUUACUCAAGUCAGAGGUGAAAGCCCGGGGCUCAACCCCGGAACGGCCUUUGAAACUAGGUAGCUAGAAUCUUGGAGAGGUCAGUGGAAUUCCGAGUGUAGAGGUGAAAUUCGUAGAUAUUCGGAAGAACACCAGUGGCGAAGGCGACUGACUGGACAAGUAUUGACGCUGAGGCACGAAAGCGUGGGGAGCAAACAGGAUUAGAUACCCUGGUAGUCCACGCCGUAAACGAUGAUAACUAGCUGUUCGGGUACUUGGUAUCUGAGUGGCGCAGCUAACGCAUUAAGUUAUCCGCCUGGGGAGUACGGUCGCAAGAUUAAAACUCAAAGGAAUUGACGG